RNAcentral lists this ribosomal RNA (478 nucleotides) under uncultured bacterium. RNAcentral's name for it is "partial 16S ribosomal RNA". It matches the Rfam family "Bacterial small subunit ribosomal RNA", at positions 28 to 523 of the family's 1533-position model. The record is from RNAcentral.
GACGAACGCUGGCGGCGUGCUUAACACAUGCAAGUCGAACGGUAAGGCCCUUCGGGGUACACGAGUGGCGAACGGGUGAGUAACACGUGGGUGAUCUGCCCUGCACUUCGGGAUAAGCCUGGGAAACUGGGUCUAAUACCGGAUAGGACCACUGCCUGCAUGGGCGGUGGUGGAAAGCUUUUGCGGUGUGGGAUGGGCCCGCGGCCUAUCAGCUUGGUGGUGGGGGGAUGGCCUACCAAGGCGACGACGGGUAGCCGGCCUGAGAGGGUGACCGGACGCACUGGGACUGAGGUACGGCCCAGACUCCUACGGGAGGCAGCAGUGGGGAAUAUUGCACGAUGGGCGCAAGCCUGAUGCAGCGACGCCGCGUGAGGGAUGACGGCCUUCGGGUUGUAAACCUCUUUCAGCACCGACGAAGCGCAAGUGACGGUAGGUGCAGAAGAAGGACCGGCCAACUACGUGCCAGCCGCCGCGGUAA